RNAcentral lists this transfer RNA (87 nucleotides) under Minisyncoccota bacterium. RNAcentral describes it as "tRNA-Ser". It matches the Rfam family "tRNA". Rfam says of the family: Transfer RNA (tRNA) molecules are approximately 80 nucleotides in length. Their secondary structure includes four short double-helical elements and three loops (D, anti-codon, and T loops). Lineage: Bacteria; Bacillati; Minisyncoccota. The record is from RNAcentral.
GGAGGGUUGGCUGAGUGGUCGAAAGUACCUCACUGCUAACGAGGCGUCCUUUUACCGGGACCGAGGGUUCGAAUCCCUCACCCUCCG